UUCCCCAUUCUGACGAAGAUGACGGGAAUCGUGGGCGGGAGAAGCUGCCAAGUUUCCUGAGCCCCGGGGUCCUUCCCAGCUCCUCUGCGUUCGGGGAGGCCAGGAGGCAGACGUCCACGCUGUAAUUCUGUGAGCGAAGACCUACAUUUAAAACAGGAGAGAGGCAGCUGAUGAGAACCACAUGGGCGCCUCGGCUCUGCGCUACACCUGUUAGUCUUGCAUUUGUCAUGCUUCUGGGAAGCAUUUUUAUUUGCAAAAAACGGCUGCUUCCCCACGUGGUUGUGGUUGCCUGCUCCUGUACGUGUGAAAAGUUUUACAUCACACUUGUAGGAGAAAAUAAAUAUGGGCAAAUUACCUCCCUUUAUUCACUCUCC
Bubalus bubalis (water buffalo) is the source of this 374-nucleotide long non-coding RNA. RefSeq lists it as uncharacterized. The transcript has 2 exons. The record is from RefSeq and is a predicted model, not a curated record. Lineage: Eukaryota; Metazoa; Chordata; Mammalia; Artiodactyla; Bovidae.